RNAcentral lists this ribosomal RNA (429 nucleotides) under Pseudomonadota bacterium. Its description in RNAcentral is "Proteobacteria bacterium partial 16S ribosomal RNA". It matches the Rfam family "Bacterial small subunit ribosomal RNA", at positions 355 to 776 of the family's 1533-position model. Lineage: Bacteria; Pseudomonadati; Pseudomonadota. The record is from RNAcentral.
UGGGGAAUAUUGGACAAUGGGCGAAAGCCUGAUCCAGCCAUGCCGCGUGUGUGAAGAAGGUCUUCGGAUUGUAAAGCACUUUAAGUUGGGAGGAAGGGCAGUAAGCGAAUACCUUGCUGUUUUGACGUUACCGACAGAAUAAGCACCGGCUAACUCUGUGCCAGCAGCCGCGGUAAUACAGAGGGUGCAAGCGUUAAUCGGAAUUACUGGGCGUAAAGCGCGCGUAGGUGGUUCGUUAAGUUGAAUGUGAAAGCCCCGGGCUCAACCUGGGAACUGCAUCCAAAACUGGCGAGCUAGAGUAGGGCAGAGGAUGGUGGAAUUUCCUGUGUAGCGGUGAAAUGCGUAGAGAUCUGGAGGAAUACCGAUGGCGAAGGCAGCCAUCUGGCCUAACACUGACGCUGAGGUACGAAAGCAGGAGGAGCAAACAGG